RNAcentral lists this ribosomal RNA (406 nucleotides) under uncultured bacterium. RNAcentral describes it as "partial 16S ribosomal RNA". It matches the Rfam family "Bacterial small subunit ribosomal RNA", at positions 30 to 526 of the family's 1533-position model. The record is from RNAcentral.
AUUGAACGCUGGCGGCAGGCCUAACACAUGCAAGUCGAACGAGUGGCGGACGGGUGAGUAAUGUCUGGGAAACUGCCUGAUGGAGGGGGAUAACUACUGGAAACGGUAGAUAAUACCGCAUACCAUCGGAUGUGCCCAGAUGGGAUUAGCUAGUAGGUGGGGUAACGGCUCACCUAGGCGACGAUCCCUAGCUGGUCUGAGAGGCUGACCAGCCACACUGGAACUGAGACACGGUCCGGACUCCUACGGGAGGCAGCAGUGGGGGAUAUUGCACAAUGGGCGAAAGCCUGAUGCAGCCAUGCCGCGUGUAUGAAGAAGGCCUUCGGGUUGUAAAGUACUGUCAGCGGGGAGGCGUUACCCGCAGAAGAAGCAACGGCUAACUCCGUGCCAGCAGCCGCGGUAAUUC